Molecule: long non-coding RNA, 840 nt
Filed under: Bos taurus (domestic cattle)
Lineage: Eukaryota; Metazoa; Chordata; Mammalia; Artiodactyla; Bovidae
Description: long non-coding RNA NONBTAT031098
Source: RNAcentral
CUCAAUUUAAAGGUUAGGUCAGCCAUGGUUUUUGUCAUGACACUGAUAAAUUUUUCUAAUGACCAGAAUGGUUUGAUCUGUAAUAGCUUUUUGUUUUUGUUUUAAGGAAUAUAUGCCUUGGUUAUCUGACUUCAUCCUAAAAAUGGAUUUUUUUUUUCUGUUUUGAAUUGUUUCUGUUUUACAACACAAAGAUAGAAUUAUACAGCAGUGGGUAAAAUUUGAUAAUAUUAAAAUAUGCAUUUUAAAGAUCUUUAUUGAAAACUUAGAAGAAUUGUAAAGAUGAAAAGUUGGCAAAGGGAUAAGGAGGGAAAUGUUUAGGAAUCAUUGUGGUUUAAAGAGGGUAAAAAUUUCUAGAUGACGUUUAAUAUAUUGAGAAGGUAGUGAAGGUAUAAAGUCAGAAAAAAGGGCAGAUAGAUCUCCUAAUCUCAGGAAUAAACUGUCUUUGUAAAUUUUGAAUAAUGUUCAGAAAACCAAGGAUCAAGAUAGUGUGUGAUGAGUCUUUUAGUUAAAAAUUCAGUCAAAAAUAAAUAAUAAAAAUACUAAUUUAAGUUCAUACUGAGGAUAUAAACUUGAGAGGUUAAAACCAUUUAUAAAAAGUGGUUGAACUUGUUCCUGGUAACUCCUUUUUCUGAACUAAUUCUAGUCCUUUCUUUUUUUUAAAAAUAGAAACUACUUAAAUGUUGUUUUUAAAUUAUUUCCUCUAAGUAAAAUUACAGAGGGGAAAAGAUUGUAAGCAAGUCCAUUGCUAAUAGUGGUUGUAUUUGUUUUUCUCCAAGUUUCCCUGUAACAUGAUUUAUAUUUGUCUGUAAUACUUGUAGCCAGUGUAUUUUUUAAAGUAAC